GAGUAAUGUCUGGGAAACUGCCUGAUGGAGGGGGAUAACUACUGGAAACGGUGGCUAAUACCGCAUAACGUCGCAAGACCAAAGAGGGGGACCUUCGGGCCUCUUGCCAUCAGAUGUGCCCAGAUGGGAUUAGCUUGUUGGUGAGGUAACGGCUCACCAAGGCGACGAUCCCUAGCUGGUCUGAGAGGAUGACCAGCCACACUGGAACUGAGACACGGUCCAGACUCCUACGGGAGGCAGCAGUGGGGAAUAUUGCACAAUGGGCGCAAGCCUGAUGCAGCCAUGCCGCGUGUAUGAAGAAGGCCUUCGGGUUGUAAAGUACUUUCAGCGGGGAGGAAGGUGUUGUGGUUAAUAACCGCAGCAAUUGACGUUACCCGCAGAAGAAGCACCGGCUAACUCCGUGCCAGCAGCCGCGGUAAUACGGAGGGUGCAAGCGUUAAUCGGAAUUACUGGGCGUAAAGCGCACGCAGGCGGUCUGUCAAGUCGGAUGUGAAAUCCCCGGGCUCAACCUGGGA
This 515-nucleotide ribosomal RNA is filed under the name Salmonella enterica subsp. enterica serovar Enteritidis. Its description in RNAcentral is "bacterial SSU rRNA". It matches the Rfam family "Bacterial small subunit ribosomal RNA", at positions 108 to 619 of the family's 1533-position model. Lineage: Bacteria; Pseudomonadati; Pseudomonadota; Gammaproteobacteria; Enterobacterales; Enterobacteriaceae. The record is from RNAcentral.